RNAcentral lists this long non-coding RNA (14228 nucleotides) under Homo sapiens (human). RNAcentral's name for it is "non-protein coding lnc-HLX-3:3". The record is from RNAcentral. Lineage: Eukaryota; Metazoa; Chordata; Mammalia; Primates; Hominidae.
AGAAGUCAGUUGGGCAGUUAUCUGUGGAUUCCUGUUGUUGCUUCUCUCCUCAUCCACGCUUUAGUGGGUUGUUGAGAGCUAGUUUGCUGGCACAAACAAACAAACAAAAACAAAUGAUUUAUGGAAACUACUGAGUCAUGCCUUGUCCCAUAGCUGCCUUUCUCCUGCUCUGGGAAGGCUCAGUUACACAGCAAAUUUCUGAAGGGAGAAGUAGCCAUGCUGUGGAAUGUGUUAUUAUAAGAAAACUUUGCUGCUGCUCUGGUGAACCCAGUGAUGCUUGAGUAGCCAAGGUUCUCAUGUACUUUCUUACUUACUGUACUGAGGUAAGCAAAGUGACAGAUCGUUUAGGGCUCUUGGAGAAAUGCUUUGCAAACCUACAAAAUGACUUUUUGUUUUAUUUCAUUUUGUUUUUUGAGACAGAGUCUUGCUCUGUUGCCCAGGCUGGAGUGCAGUGGUAUGGUCUUGGCUCACUGCAGCCUCUGCCUCCCAGGUUCAAGUGAUUCUCCUGCCUCAGCCCCCAGCUAGUUGGGAUUACAGGCACAUGCCACCACACCUGACUAAUUUUUGUAUUUUUAGUAAAGACGGGGUUUCACCAUGUUGGUCAGGCUGGUCUCAAACUCAUGAUCUCAGUUGAUCCGCCCACCUCGGCCUCCCACAUUCAGACUGUACAAAAUCCUGAGGUGAAUGGCAAGAUGGCUGAAUAAGAACAGCUCCAGUCUGCAGCUCCCAGUGAGAUCAAUGCAGAAGGCCUUCAGUACAUCUUUAUUAAUCUGACUGCCUGGUUGCAGUUACAUUUGAGAAUAAGACUGAGAUCAAAUUCCACGUUUAGAGUGAGAAAUGACUGCAGUUGAAGACUUGGUUGCAAGAGUCUAAGAAGACACCUCAGGGAGAGAGACAGGAUCCAAAACAAGAUUGCUGGCUGAGGAAUGGGACAAGUCACCAGCUCAGAAGUCUCAGGACCAGCGACAUCAAGAGCAGGAAGUGGCCAGUGCCUCAACUUCACUCCCCUCUCCCUCCUGGAACAGGCCCUCCAUCACCGUAGAUAAUUCAUGUCACUGAAUGGAACAUAUUCCAAACGCAGUUAUUGUGGAGUUUCAACAAGACCACAUAUGAGAAAGAAAGAGAGAAAAUAUCUGCAUGUGUCAGUGUUCAAAUGACACCAUCAGAGACUGUUGAGAGUAAGACAAGACCUCUCCUUUGUGACCAGUUAACUGAUACUAGACAAGUAUUGUUCUAGCAGGUAAAAUGACUCGAAGAUAUCUUCAAACUUUAUAUUUUUUAAUAACCCCCAUAAUACAGAAUUACCUAUGGAUGUACAUGUUGGAGUACAUUCACGUGAAAGUAUAGAAUCAGACAUUAUUCAGGCAGACUUUCCCUGUUCCAAAUACUCCUUAAUUGAGGAACUACCUUGACUACUAAUUUUAAAUCACAAUAGUUCCAUGCAGAAGGGAGAGCUAAGUUUUGGGUUACAAAAUUUUGAAAACCACCAUAUAGAACCCACCUAAAAUAUCCAACCACCAACUUGCCACUGGCGAUGGCUGAGAAAGCAGAAGGGAGGCAGAUGUGGUUGUUGCCCAGUUGGAAAUGAUGAUACUAAUAAGACUUUAAGUGAAGUAAGCAGAAGGAGUUUGGGGCAUUUGUUAUGCUCUCCUUGAAGCUCUGUUCUGAGUCCUCCCAGACCUGGCUGGAGAUUGAUUUUCCUUCUGUGCUAGAUAUCCUACGUGAAAAUAACCAUGGCAGUAUUAAUAAUAGCACUGUAGCAGCUGUUUGGAAAGUGAGCACCUUCCAUACCUUAACUUUCUAUUUUGCCUGGUAGAUUGCACUCUUUUCCUUUUCACUAGCAGAUAGUUCUCUGAGUACGAAUCUAAAGAGAGGAGAGCCAAGGCUAUCUAUAUUGCCUAUGGUAAGACAGCAUAGUGAGACAUUUCCUUAAAAAUCUGGGAAUGACUGCAAAUGGCAUUGGGAAUACAAUCAUGAGUUGGUUGCCCCUGAUGGUAGUUCUUCAGGUUCAUGCAUAGGAAGCUCCAAGGGAAGGUUGACUCAUUAGAUGCACCAAAGGUUGGCUUACUCUAAAAAUGAACAUGUCAUGAGCAUGCACACAGGGUUAAUAACAUAUAUUGAGCUUUUCCUAUAUGCUAGAUUCUUUUUUACCUUCUUAUUAAAUCCAAACAACAACGUCCCAGUGAAGAUGUUGUUAUCAACAAGAAUAUAAGCAGAAUGAGUAGCAAUUUGGGUUCACUUGUAUACAAUAAACACUUGGCACAUUUGCUUUUCAAAUGAUUUAAUAAAUGUUAACCUUAUGGAUGAAGAAACAGAGUUUUGCAGAGAUUGAAUACUCUGCCAAAUUCCCCCAGCCAGAUAACGCCAGAACAGGGAAACAGGCCUGACGCUAUGGGGAGAUUUUGUUCCCUGCCAGAGGUUCAGCAUACCCAAAUCCCCUCCCUUGUGUGGGCCCUGGUUGGAGUUGGACACAAGAAAAAUUUGCAUGAGAUAUGGAAGGUAGAAGUGAAGCAGCAGCUGUUAUGCUCAGAGGAUGGACAUAUGGAUGCCAGGCACCAUGACAGUGUCAACUUACACGUCAUCACUUAUCUGCUGGUUCACCUCGUUGGUGUGGGGCAAUGGCUGGGUCCACAGCUUCUCUAGUUUUCAGCAGAUCUCUUCCUUUCAGUUCUUUGAGUCCUGAGCCAUGGCAGGAACCUUGUGCAGCUUCACGGCAAAGGACACCAGUCUCUUCUGCAAGUUAUCUAUAUUGUUGAGGUUGGAGGCCAUGAGAUACAGAUGUGGGUUUUAGUUUGUCUUGUCUCUCUGUUCAUGUCCAGCUUGUCUUCCUGAUUGCCAGCCUUCUUGACCUCUAGUGACUUCAAGGCUACUGCCAGAUGCAAAGGCAACAGCCUCCCAUAGGCUUCUUUAUAAGUUCCCACAAUGCUGUCGAGUCUAACCUCUUCAGUAAACCAUUUAUUUCAUAUCACUUGUGGUGGCUGUGCUUCCAUGAUCAAACUUUAGCUGUUAUGGUUUGUCAGACUCCAAAUUUCCAGGAUACUGCACUCACUGGGAGACUAUGAGGGUGAAGGCACGAGCAGGUUUCAGUGGGACUGGAAUCCUCUGGCUUUAGGAAACUGAGUACUUCCUUAAUCAGAUGCUCAGAGAACAAAGCAAGGGGAUAUACAUGAGCAAAACAGAAAAUUGAGAAGUCAUAUCAAUGUUUCAUUUAGCUUAUGAGAUUACAGAGCUAGUAAUUUCAUGGCCAAUUAUAUGUUUAAGAUAGGCCAAAAAUAAGUUGAAAAAAUAUUUCAGUGGCCGUUUGUGGACAAUAUAAAAAUGACAUUUUUCUGAUUUCUCAAUCAGUGCUUUUCAGUAUCUUAGUCACAGCCUACAUUUACAUGCCAAACAUCUGCAUGGAAAGUGAAAAUAUGCUGUUAUAACCUAGAUGAAACAUCUGGAAGAUGAUAUUUUUCUACUUUUUAUUCAUUUGGUGUCACAUAGAUCUAGGCAUCAACACAUAUCUCUUUUCCCUUAACUUUAAAAAAACAUGAUUUUAUUUUUCAGUGCACUUUUUCUGGAAAACAAUUUUGCAAGGUGCAAGGUAUUCAGAUGAAGUGCUGAAAUCUUGGCUGUAGGAAAAGUUAAGCAUAACCAACCAACACUUACUUCAACCCCAACUGCAACACUUCUGAGACUUACCCUUUGCCAUUUAGCACGUUCCUUUUGCUGUCUGCUUGCACACUAUGUACCCUGGGACUUUCCUGGUUUUCUCUGCCUUCUGCUUUUGGGGUAAUAUUGGUUUAACCAAUAUUAAACCAAGAAGUACAACAUUAGAAAGACCCAAUUUUCUUACAUGAAAGCAAGAAGUUUAUUCAACUCAUUGCUUCACUUUAUUUCUAGGGGCCUUUUCUAGGUCCAGAAAGAAGUUGUCCUUAGCCCUAGACUUUCUGUACCUCUACCCACCCUCCCUUCAGUAUGUAUGUACGUUGUCUGUCUUGAGUGAGAUAAUAUGCCCAUGCAGAUACGCUCUUCUUUGUUUUCUAAGCAUUAGGGUUGCUGAUACACAACAAUAUUUUUUCUUGGUAGAAGUAUGUUCCAUGCAAUAUUUGGGAUAUAUUUUAUGCACAAUUACUUGCUGUUUAGCUAAAAUUCAAAUUUAACUGGGCAUCCUGUAUUUUAUUUGCUAAAUCUGUCAACCAUAGUGUAGAUACUUCUCGCAUCCCCAAUCUCCCAAAGCUCCCAUUUUCUAAAUCCUGCACACUGACAAGACUUUCAACAGUAAGUUAACUUCUGGACAGCUUGCCAGACUCUCCUUGAGGAAUGUGUUUGCCUUCUAGCAUUUGGAUGAAUAAUUUAGUUCUGCCACUAAAACAAAACAUGAAUGGGCAUUUGAUGUAAACAUUAUUUUCCUCACUGCUUUGGCUGAAGAGCUGAAGAGUUAGAAAGGUCCUACCGGCAACAUCCACCUUUCUGAAAUGCACUGCUUGCUCACAGACUUAAGGUGUAGCUUGAGCUGUUUCUGGGUUACACAGCUUUUCUUCUAUUUCCGUUUUUUUCUUCUUCAAAGUUUCUAGUCUUCUUUUCUUACAGAAGUAUGACCUCUCUUCAAGUCUCAACCAGGACCAACAUUUGUGCCAUCCAGAUUUUGCGACCCAGAAAUGGCCAUCUGACCAGUCCAUGGAAGGCCUUCCUAGACUGGAGUGUGUAUUCUUAUGACCCAGAUCACAUAAUACUGACAGAGAGGUAUUUGGCAGUAACAUGGGUAAUAAUGGUAAGGAAGGGUAUAUGGACUACGAUUUAUAAAGGCUUUUUGAAAUUAGCUUGAAAAUAACACUUACUGGGAUUUCCCACAUUUUAAAACUAACAUGCUUAUUGUAGAAAAACAUGCAAAACAUACAAAAGCUAAAAGCAAACAUAACAAAACAAUCACUCACAAAUUCACAUCUUGAGAUAUUCACUGUUGUUAUUUUUGGUGUAUAUUUAUAAUAUUUUUCUAUAAAUUUAUUUGUUGUUUCAAAAAAGUACCAUAUAACACAGAAAUACACAGCAACUUUUUUUUGUGAUUUAGCAAUGGAUUUUGAACAUUUUUUUCUGUGCAGAGUACAUGUGUAUGUCAAUAAUUCUCAAUAUUUUUUGGGUUGCAGAUCUUAUUUAAGAAAGUAAAGCUGCUUCUUUCACGAAAACAACUAUACAGGUACCUAGAGGAUUUGGGUACAAUUUCAGAUCAUUAAAAUACAUCUGUAGAUCCUAAAGAUAAAGAAGUCCUGUUCUAAAGUAUCACAACUAAUUUGAAUGACUGACAUGGGAUAUUUUGAGGCUUCCAGUAAGAAUUUAUUUUAUAUAAGCUAAAUAGGCAAUUAGACAUUUGCUACAUUGGGACCUCAUAUUAUAAGAUUUUGCUUUUUUUUUUUCUUGGAAUUCAGGUUUUUAGGGUAGUGGUCCCCAACUUUUUUGGCAGCAGGGACUGGUUCAUGGAAGACAAUUUUUCUGCUGAGCAGGGGUGGGAGGUGGGCAGGGUUGGGUGAUGGUUUCGGGAUGAAACUGUUUCACCUCAGAUCAUCAGGCAUUAGAUUCUCAUAAGGAGCACACAACCUAGAUCCUUUGCAUAUGCAGUUCACAGUGGCAUUUCUGCUUCUUUGAGAAUUUAAUGCUGCUGCUGAUCUGACAGGAGGUGGAGCUCAGGUGGUAAUGCUCACUUCCCCGCCAUUCACCUGCUGCUGUGCAACCCUGUUCCUAAUAGGCCACAGACCAGUACAUGUCCACAGCCCAGGGGCAUGGCAAGAGGAGACAUUAGCAAAUAUGCAGAUUGUCCUGUUUACAUGUCAGCUCUGAAGACUGUUGAGUUGAUGGGUCUUCCCUUGGUUGCAAGCCAACAGCAGUCAGAAGCAAGAAACCUUGUCUAGAUUUCACAAUAACCUUGUCACAAGUCUCACGUUUCCUGUAGGAAAGCUGAAUUUACCAGCACACUCACUGUGAGUAAAACUGUAACUCUGCUCUGAGCAGAAGGCUUGUGCUGAGGAUAAAAACAAAUUCUCAGUGGAAAUACAAAAUUGAUCUAUUAAUUCCUGGAUGCUAAAGACAAUGAUUUUUUCCUGUCUGGUGGCUGUUUUUCUUUUGUAUGUAACUUUCAGUUUAUUUCCGUAGUUAGGAAAGAGAUAAAGCAACUUGAGAAAGCAUAGGAAGGUGUAGUCCCCUGAAAUCUAAAUGAAGCCUGUUUGGUCUUGCAGUUUCCUGUGCAGGUCUGGCCUGGGGCAGGACUAUAUGGGCAUCUGCAGCCCACACAAUGUAGGAAAAAGACUGGUAGAAUAUUAUCAUUAACUAAAGUAACUAUAGAUGUUCAUUACUGAGCACUUAUUGUACAAUGGCCAUUGGGCUAGGUGCUCUACCUAAAUUACAUUAAAUUCUCACCACUCUAAAAAGUAGGUAUCAUUUUUCUUUUAUGUGGAAGGGGCUGUGCCACUGAAUGGGUAAGAGCACAGACUCUGGCUUUCCACAAUCUCGAUUCAUACAUAUUGGCCUUGUGACCUUGAGAAAGUUACUUAGUCUCCUUGUGCGGCAUUUCUUUCAUCUGUAAAAUGGGGCUAAAACACAAAUUUGAAUCCAGGUCAGAGUUUCUUUUUUAAAUUUAUUUUUUAAUAAAAAAUUUUAAUGAGAUGUAAUUCACAUAUAUUAAAAUUUGCCCAUUUAAAGUGUACAAUACCAUGUUUUUAUUUUUCAUUUUUAAAUUUUAAUUUUUAUUCUUCCAACCUUUUUUUUUUUUUUUUUUUUCUGAGACAAGGUCUCACUCUGUUACCCAGGCUGGAGUGCACUGGGGCGAUCUCGGCUUACUGCAACCUCGGCUCACUGCAACCUCUGCCUCCCGGGCUCAAGUGAUUCUCUUGCUUCAGCCUUCUAAGUAGCUGGAAUUAACAGGCAUGUGCCACCACGCCUGGCUAAUUUUUUGUAUUUUUAGUAGAGACAGAGUUUCACGAUGUUGGCCAGGCUGGUCUUGAGCUCCUGGCCUCAAGUGAUCUGGCCACCUUUGCCUCCCAAAGUGCUGGAAUUAUGGGCGUGAGACACUGCGCCUGGCCUUUCCCACCUUCCACCCUCAAGUGGGCCCCAGUGUCUAUUGCUCCCCUCUAUGUGUCCAUCUGUACUCAAUGUUUAGCUCCCACUUAUGUGGUCAGUGUUUAGCUCCCACUUUAGAACAUGCGGUAUUUGGUUGUCUGUUCCUGAAUCAAUUUGUUUAGGAUAAUGUCAGCCAGGGUUUCUACCCAGGAAAGCCUACUGCCUGAUUCAGUCCUUAGCUAAAUUGUAAAGAUCCCUUUGAUUCCUCCCUCCAGCCCUCCUUUCUCACUACAGCACCCUCUCUCCCUAUCUCCACUAACAAGAUCUUUCCUUCCCUCUCCUUCUUCUCUUCAUAACUUCGCUUGCAACUUCCGGUUUCCAGGCUACAGAAUGCCAGCUUUCACAAGUGUGAGGACUGCUAUGAAAGAGAGGCACAUGCAUAGCAAGGGCAUUUUUAGACCUCCAAAGCCUCAGGAACACAGGAAGUAAUUCUCUAAUAAAUAGAUAUCUGGAAUUGUAACUGGUUGAAGGAAAUACUUGGUGCCAAAUUCCUAUUUAGUGCUCCUCAAAACACACGAUGAUGGAAAGUGGCCUCCUCCUUUUUCUAAAUUAAUUGGGCUUUGAUAUGGGUCUGGAAGAAACUCAUGAGCUGCAGUCUUUCAUUCAGGAACUUAAUAACUUUUGGCCAUAGUUGGAAUGACUUGUCAUGUUUGGGUCCAGCCAAUAGGGAACACAGGUCACAUCUUUCCCUGCAUAAGCCCACAGCCACCCAUGCUGUGGGUAGCUGUCCCUUUCCUUUCCCUUCAUAAAGUGGAUAGGAGGCGAAUAAGGCUGAAUAGUAAUUAUAAACAUCUGGUGGUUACUUUAUGAUUAGGUCAUGUUAAAGAUUUUGGGAAGCCUUCCAUCAGUCUCAGUUAAUAUCUUUCCAAUUAUGUUUACAUUGACAUUUACCCUGGGCCCUGUAACUUCUCAUUAUGCCUUCUGGAGUUAUCCCAUACGCUCUGGGCGUGGUGAGAAGUUCACCAGGGAGGCAAGGAUUACUGCUGCUACUGCUUGAUCAAGGGGAAAGGCAGCCAGCAGUUCCAAGGAGCCAGGAAGGGACUGCCCAGACAUGAAGAAAGAUAAUGUGGUUACUAUUUUGUCAUAUACUUUGGCUUUAUUUUACCUGAAAGUUCAAUGACCAAGAUACUAGAAAAAGUCUUCAUAGCACUGAGGGGCUGUUUCUGAAUUAGAGACACAACUGAUAGUUGGAAGCCUGUUGUUUGUGAGAAAGAAUUGUUUGACUAGCAACACACCUAGCCUCUCUGCAUUAAUCUCCCAAAUGAAAUUCAGAACAGGUAUUGGAAGCCUAGACAUGAAAUGAAAGAAAAAUGUAUGAACUAAGUACACUGAUUGCAUUCAUUCAGCAGGUGUUUUCUUGUUGUCUGAGCAACUUCUAUAUAUUUAGCUCACUGCAUAACAAGGUGCAGAUACAGUGGUAUAUAAGACAUUGUCAGCUGGGCACGGUGGCUCAGGCCUGUAAUCCCAGCACUUUGGGAGGCCGAGGUGGGCAGAUCACUUGAGGUCAGGAGUUCAAGACCAGCCUGACCGACACGGUAAAACCCCAUCUCUACUAAAAAAAAAAAAUACAUAAACAAAGCCGGGCGUGGUGGCAUAUGCCAGUAAUCCCACCUACUUGGGAGGCUGAGGCAGGAGAAUCAGUUAAACCCGGGAGGCAGAGGUUUCAGUGAGCCGAGAUGGUGCCACUGCACUCCAGCCUGGGCAACAGAGUGAGACUCCGUCUCAAAAAAAAAAAAAAAAGACAUUGUCUCCUUUCUCUAAAGCCAUAUGGUUUAGUUGGGUGGUAAGGUAGAUGAUAAAAUAUUUACAUAAAAUUAUAAGUAUAGAAAAUGAAGCAUAUACUCUAAGUAAUACACAAAAAUGUCUCCUGAUAAGCCUUUUAUUUUGUGUUUGGUGUAAUUUUUUAAAGUGACAUGUUCAUGUUUUUGAAUAAAUUUUACUUACGUCUUUGUGUUUUUAUGUACUUUCCAGUGGAAAAUUAUUAAAAAUGUUUUCCCAGCAAAUCAACACAAUUUAAUAGUAAAUAGCAAUAUUAGCAGCAUUCCAUCUAGUGCAAAAUAGGUCUUUCAAGCACAGUGGCCAAUGACCGUGGAGAAGUCUCCCAGGAAGGUUCUGGAACAGGUUCUUACAGGAAGGGCAGCCGAGAACAUCAAUGAUUAAAAGGGGGCUGAGAAGAGGAAACUGAUGGACAAAGAGGUGAGAAGUGGGAGAAAGAACGAAAAUCUGGAGGUUGGAGGAUAAACAAACCCACAUCCUUGUGGAUGAAGAAGGAUACCAAAAACUCAUUUUCCUGGAAGGAGCAAUUUUUGAAAUCAGCUACACUGAGGGCACUUUCGUGGCUGCCAGACUAAAGAUUAAUGGAGCACAACUCCAAAGGGUGCCAACAGGAAGCAACUAUACCCCCAAACAUGUCAUCACCCCCUGCCUAUUUCAACCUGUCCUGGAGCUAGUUUAAUGUGCCAGCUCCCAUGGUUUUUCCAGUCAUUCUGCGGUAGAAGGAGACCGCAGCUGCAGAUUGAGUGAAGGUCUUUUCCAUGUGAAUUUGUCCUGCAUCUGGGAUAAAGGUAUAAUGAUUACCUAAAGCAUGUUCUGUUCAUGGAAGAUCACUGGAACACAAAAGACCAAGCUCACAGCAUAUUCAAGACAUCUGCUCGUAUUCCACUGGCCAAAGAAAGUGAUGUGGCCCAGCCUAAAGUCAGGAACAGGAGCAGGAGGCUUUGACAACUGAGAUCUUCGAUCAUGAGUGUUGUGAAUGCAGACGGGGUUUUGUACUCCAGGCACUGUGCUAGGCACCAGGACUAUAAUACAACUUGUGAUCUGUAGAGGAGUCAGACAAUUAUCCAGGCAUCCCAAAGAAAUGUCAAUUGCAAACAAACACCACCCAACACGCCUCAUGUAUAUCAUUUUAAGCUACAGAAAUAUGGAAUCUUCAGUGAAGUUUACCUUUGGGGCCACUCCCACCUUAACCUGGCCUGGAUCCCUUUUUCCCUGGAGGCUGUUCUGAAGAUGGCACCCUACCUGCUCACCUUUUAGUGUACCUGGGCACCCAUGCCUCCAUAUGGUGACCCUCAAAUCAUACUGUAUGAAGAGCAGCUGUUUUGUCAACUAUUUUUUAAUGAGAUUUUUUUUGCUUUGGUUUAAAAAAUAGCAUAUAUUUGCGUUAGAAAAUUAGAAAUACAGAAGAAACAGAAAUAUAAAAGAAUUACCUAUAACAUGCAAAAAUGACUAGUACAAAUGUUUUUGUUUUUUUACAGUAUGUGAACAUAUUGUAUGUUUAUAUUAAUAUCCAUAGUAUUUAUUUUUGCCUACAUGUUUUACUUAACAUAUGUAGUAAGCAUUUCCCAUGUUAGUCAAAUUAUUUGUGGACAUUAUUUUUAAUGACUAUUAAUGUUAUUACUCUACAGCUUGCCGAAUAAGUCUCCUAUUAUAUGUCAUUUUGGGUCCUAGCAACAUUUUUGUGUUUAAAUCCUUGUAGCAGUUUUGACUGAUUUCCUUAAGAUAGAGUCCAAGAAGAGAAAUAAUUUGCUUGUUUGUUUAUCAUUUGGUACUUUCUUUUAUGGUAAUGUCCUUGGGGCUGAUAAUUCAGAACCAUGAAUAGAUAUGAUUCUUGUCUUUGAGGAGAUUGUAGCCUUGUGCUAGGUUAAAGAAUAGGCACGUUUUAAAGUUCUCGAUACACAUUUUCAAAGUGCUUUUCAAAAAUUUGUAUCAAUUCAUCCUUCUACUAUAAGGGAAAAUCUGUUCUGGGUUGUUUUUCUGGUAUAUCUUCCUAUUAAGAACCUGUUCUCCCUCCUGCUUUGUGACUCACAUGGAGUUGCCACUGCAUGCUAUCAUCUCCAUCCCUUAGAGCAACCUAUUAGAGAACUUACUCUCUGGAGUCCCAAAAGAGAAACAACAGCAACAACUCAGCAAUUCAUCUGGGGUCAGCGUGUUACCCAGUCUGGGCCAUUGGAGAUUUUUUUAAAGGGAAGUUUCUCCUAUUUUCUUCAAAAUUCUGAGCUGUGAAGAGGACCACUAGAAAGUUCAAUCUAUUUAUGAUUUUUUAAAAAACUGUUAUUAUAUAUAUUUAAGUGUAUGUCAUGUUUCCACACAUAUAUACAUAGUGAAAUGAUCACUGUAAUCAAGCUAAUUAGAAUAUCCCCCAUCUCGCAUAGUCACCUUUGUGUGUGAAAAGGGUUCAGUGCUUCCCUCUCCACUCUUCAUCUCCCCUUUAAAAAAGCAGAGAUGAAUGGAGAGGGAAAGGUUGAACAAUGGUUAUGUGGUGGGACUGCUGGGAUUCACCUGAGAGUUAAAACCAGCUAGUUCUACCCGUAUGUUUUUCACUUAGAUAAGCCAACAAAUUAAUUUCUUUUCCUCUAUUCUUCUUGUCUUCUUUCCUGCCUCUUUACCUGUCUCCCUUCCUUCCUCUCUUCCCACUCUCUUUCUUUCCUUAUUUAAAUUGGUUUGAAUUGAGUUUCUGACACUAAUGGAGAGUCCUUAUUGUGCCUUCACGUUAUUUUUAUCAAACCAGAAAAUGUUAAUGACAUAAAACAAUUACUGUUUGGACAAGGAAAAUUGUAUUUCUUUCCUUGAAAUUUCUACACACAUACACAUUUGUGCUUGUUAGUGAGGCUAAGCAUUUUCCCCCUUAUUUGUGAAUUAUAUAUUCAAUGUUUUGAUCCAUUUAUCAAAUAAAUUCCUUAGUUUAAAAAAUAUUUGCAGGUGCGGUUAUUAUGGAAAGCAGCAUGAAGUUUCCUCUAAAUAUUAAAAAUAGAAUCACCACAUGACUCAGCAAUCCCUCCUCUCUAUAUAUUUUUAAAGGAAAUGAAAUCAGCACUUCAUGGAACUAUCUCCACUCCCGGCUGGGCGCAGUGGCUCACGCCUGUAAUCCCAGCACUUUGGAAGGCCAAGGCAGGUGGAUCACGAGGUCAAGAGAUGGAGACCAUCCUGGCCGACAUGGUGAAACCCUGCCUCUACUAAAAAUACAAAAAUUAGCUGGGCGGGGAGGCACAUGCCUGUAAUCCCAGCCACUCGGGAGGCUGAGACAGGAGAAUCGCUUCAACCUGGGAGGCGGAGGUUGCAGUGGCUGAGAUCGCACCACUGCAGUCCAACCUGGUGACAGAGGGAGACUCCAUCAAAAAAAAAAAAAAGAAAAAAAGAAAUAUCUCCACUCUUAUAGUCAUUGAAGCAUAAUUAACAAUAACCAAGCUAUGAAAUCAAUGUAAGUGCCCAUCAAUGGAUGAGUGGAUAAAGAAAAUGUUACACACACACACACACACACACACACACACACACAGUGGAAUUUCAUGUAGCCUUAAAAAAGAAGACGAUUUUGUUAUUUAUAACAUGCCUGAAUGUGGAGGACAUUAGGUUAAGUGAAAUAAGCCAGAAAGAAAAAUACUGCAUGAUCUUACUUAUAUGUGGAAUCUAAAAACGUCAAGUACAAAAAAGCAAAAAGUAGAAUAGUGGUUGCUGGGAUCUGGGGCUGAGAUUAUGAUGGGCAAAUGGGAAGAAAUUGAGUGCAGAGUUUUGAUUAGGAUCAAUAAGUCUAGAGAGCAAAUGUACAGCAUGAAGACUAUAGUUACUACUGGGUUGUAUACUGGAAAUUUGCUAAGAAAGUAGGUUGUAGGUCCUCUUACCAUACACACAUAUACAGGUAACUAUGCGAGAUGAUGGAUAUUCUAAUUAGAUUGACUGUAGUAAUCAUUUCACUAUGUAUGUGUAUGAAAACAUGACAUACACCUUAAAUAUAUAUAAUAACAUUAAAAAAACCCAAAAUCUUGAAAAGAUUAUUAAGCUUUCCAAUGCCCAAGAAAAGGAAGAAAAGAAAAAGAAACUGCCACAGCUUAUUUUAAAAAUAAAAGUGGGCUCUCUUUUUAAAAUAUUAAUUUUAUAGUACCUUAUCUGGUAACCAAAAUAUUUUUAAAUAUUCUGAUGCUAUUAUAGUAUAAUCAUUCUUUAAUAAUUUUGUAGAUUUCACUUUACUGAACAAAGCCCUAAACAAAAACAUUGAAUAUGACAAAAACUUGCAUAAGUUUAUUUCAUACUGAAGACAUAUAUGCUAUAGAUUUGUAGAAAUACUUCCCACUUGGUUACUUGCUUAUGUUAUGAGUUUUUACCUACAGAAACUUGCUUUUUUUCUUGUAAAAUUUAGAUUAAUUUCUUUGGUAUGUUUUCCUACUGCUUUAAAACUUCAGAAUUCCUUUUUUCAUAGAACUUUUCUAUUUUCACUUAGAAACAUUCAGAACUUAUGUUAGUGUGUGAUUUGAGGUGGUUUUUGUGUUGACUUUGUUUCCUACCUUGUUAGCUAUUUUUUCUAUGCCAUUGUGGAAUAAUUUGUUAAUUUUCAGUGGAUUCAUAAUGCCUUUAAAAAAUAAGGUUGUGUUCUCAGAGGUGAUAAAUUUUAUUUAUUUAUGAUGCUCCAUCUAUGUUAAGGCUAUUUGUAAGUCUAUGUGUAUGGUAGGAUUUUAGUUCUACACUGCAUCUUACACAGGUUAGUAAAAUAUAGCACAUUUAUUAAUUAUUUAGAGUAUAGGAUUACGUAUUGAUAAGUACAAGCUAUUGAGCCUUCCCAUGUCCUAGGCACUUUGCUGAAUUUUAAUCCUUAUCACAACUCAAUGGGAUAGAUACUGUUGUCAUCUUUUGUAGACAUGGGUUUAUUAUAGCUAUUUUAAAAUGAGUUAGCAAAUUCAAAUUUCAAAAAUUCUAUUUUUAUUUCUAAUAUGGUAAAUAUUGAUAAAUAAAAUUUAUAUAAACAAAUAUUUUGAUGUACUCAGUAACCCAUAAGGGUAUAUAAGAGCCCUGAAAUGAAAAAGUUUGAGAACUGCUUAUAAGCCCUAUAUAAUUAUUAGGUAUUAAUAUCAUUAUUAAUUUUUGAAUCUAUAUUCAAAUAUAGUUAUCAUAAAAUGAACUUCAUAUAUGUAAGUGUAUACUUUGAUGUGUUUUGACAUAUGUAUAUUAUAAUGAAGCCAUCAUCAUAAUUAAGAUAAUAAACAUAUCCAUCACUCUCAGAGUUUCCUAAUGCCUCUUUGUUAUUCAUCUCUCUCUCUCCAGGGUCCCCAAAUUGAGGUAACCACUGAUCUUCUUUCCAUCAAUAUAGAGUAGAUGGCACUUUCUAGAAUUUGAUAUAAAUGGAAUCUACACUCUGUUGUGACUAUAUUUAU